This 155-nucleotide ribosomal RNA is filed under the name uncultured Bacillota bacterium. RNAcentral's name for it is "uncultured Firmicutes bacterium partial 16S ribosomal RNA". It matches the Rfam family "Bacterial small subunit ribosomal RNA", at positions 367 to 514 of the family's 1533-position model. The record is from RNAcentral. Lineage: Bacteria; Bacillati; Bacillota.
CGCAAUGGACGAAAGUCUGACGGAGCAACGCCGCGUGAGUGAUGAAGGUUUUCGGAUCGUAAAGCUCUGUUGUUAGGGAAGAACAAGUGCAAGAGUAACUGCUUGCGCCUUGACGGUACCUAACCAGAAAGCCACGGCUAACUACGUGCCAGCAG